Molecule: ribosomal RNA, 117 nt
Filed under: Streptomyces coryli
Lineage: Bacteria; Bacillati; Actinomycetota; Actinomycetes; Kitasatosporales; Streptomycetaceae
Also listed under: 1 other name
Source: RNAcentral
UUCGGUGGUCAUAGCGUUAGGGAAACGCCCGGUUACAUUCCGAACCCGGAAGCUAAGCCUUUCCGCGCCGAUGGUACUGCACAGGGGACUGUGUGGGAGAGUAGGUCGCCGCCGAAC